RNAcentral lists this ribosomal RNA (1016 nucleotides) under Sordariomycetes sp. Its description in RNAcentral is "eukaryotic LSU rRNA". The stretch from base 445 to 1016 matches the Rfam family "Eukaryotic large subunit ribosomal RNA", at positions 1 to 583 of the family's 3401-position model. The record is from RNAcentral. Lineage: Eukaryota; Fungi; Ascomycota; Sordariomycetes.
GGAUCAUUACAGAGUUGAAAACUCCCAACCCGUGUAAACCUUUACCUGUCUCGUUGCUUCGGCGGCCCCGGCCGCCGGAGGUUUGGCAAACUCUGUCUUUUAUACGGUGGAUCUCUGAGGCGCAAGCCAACCAAUCAAAACUUUCAACAACGGAUCUCUUGGUUCUGGCAUCGAUGAAGAACGCAGCGAAAUGCGAUAAGUAAUGCGAAUUGCAGAAUUCAGCGAGUCAUCGAAUCUUUGAACGCACAUUGCGCCCGCCGGUACUCCGGCGGGCAUGCCUGUUCGAGCGUCAUUUCACCACUCAAGCCGCGGCUUGGCGUUGGAGACCCCGCCCCGGCGGGCCUCCCAAGUAUAUCGGCGGUUCCGCCGGCACCCUCAGCGCAGUAAAACCUCCGCUCUGGUGGUCGGCGGCCCCAGCCCCGAAACCCCCUAUUUUUUUCAGGUUGACCUCGGAUCAGGUAGGAAUACCCGCUGAACUUAAGCAUAUCAAUAAGCGGAGGAAAAGAAACCAACAGGGAUUGCCUCAGUAACGGCGAGUGAAGCGGCAACAGCUCAGAUUUGAAAACUGGCCCUCGGGCCCGUGUUGUAAUCUGCAGAGGAUGCUUUCGGCGGAGCGCCCGCAAAGUCCCCUGGAACGGGGCGCCUUAGAGGGUGAGAGCCCCGUACGGCGGGACGCCGAGCCGGUGUAAAGCUCCUUCGACGAGUCGAGUAGUUUGGGAAUGCUGCUCUAAAUGGGAGGUAAACGUCUUCUAAAGCUAAAUACUGGCCAGAGACCGAUAGCGCACAAGUAGAGUGAUCGAAAGAUGAAAAGCACUUUGAAAAGAGGGUUAAACAGCACGUGAAAUUGUUGAAAGGGAAGCGCCUGUGACCAGACUCGGGCCCCUCGGAUCAUCCGGCGUUCUCGCCGGUGCACUCUGGAGGGCCCGGGCCAGCAUCGGUUUCGCCCGGGGGAGAAGGGCGCCGGGAACGUAGCUCCCCUCGGGGAGUGUUAUAGCCCGGCGUGCGAUGCCCCGGGC